Long non-coding RNA from Corvus hawaiiensis (hawaiian crow), 6274 nucleotides. RefSeq lists it as uncharacterized. The record is from RefSeq and is a predicted model, not a curated record. NCBI's taxonomy places the organism in Eukaryota, Metazoa, Chordata, Aves, Passeriformes, Corvidae. The transcript has 5 exons.
AGGCACUAGAUCUGGAAGUAGGUACAGAAAUCAUCUAGAGGAUGACCACAAGUAACUCCUGUGUGCAUUCACCUCACGCAUCUGUCCCACUUCGGAUGAUGUCCCAUGCACAUCUCGAUGCUCUUUUCCUUGGAGUUCUGCCAUUGCUGCCAAAAGAAUUCUUCUCCCCCUAGAUCUUCCAUCACUGAUAUCUGCUGCUUCUACCCUUAAGUGGGAAGGCCCAAGGAUGGCUUCCAUCAGCUUUGCAUCAAUAGGGGCUUCCUGCCACAGUGGUAACUUGGCUGGCAAUUUGUGGCUGGAAUCCAAUGUAUUAAGUGCCAUAAGCCCACCCAGGAGCCUUCAGAACCUCCUAUAAUUAACUGUUGCUGCUGUAAAUUUAGACAAACCCAGGAAAUCACAUGCAAAAUUCUGUCUGAUUUGCUAUCUAAUCACCUUCUAUCUAGGUUCUUAUACCACACACAUUGCUGUGGUAUCUGAGCAUCUUGGUGCCUGGAUGCAAGUCAGAUAAACCCUUUUCAAGCUAGCUAAGCUGCAGUCCUGACACUUCUACACUGUUCUGCAGCCAACUUUUGCUACGAGCAAACUGCAAAGAAGCUUCUUCAAAGAUUCGCUGAACGUACCAGCUUCUCCUGUCUUCCUUUCCCAGUUAAUGUAAGGUUGGGAAAUUUGCCAAGCAUCAUGCUAAACUGAAAGAGACAUUCAAAUUUCAGUGAGUGCAUGAGCCAAGGGAGCCCAGCCUGCCAGAAUGUUAUUGUAGUGUUCUUAAGAAGUUCUCGGCAUUAAGACUUCAUUUUGUUGUGUGCCUGUCUGUCUGGUUAGGAGAUGCUCCACUGGAGACCAGAAAGUCAUUGCUUCCUCAAUAUUAAAUACAAGUGUCUCAGUCAGCUACAAACCAUUUGUUAGCUUCAAACUUUUGAGUCAGUUUUGUUUCUUUUUCUUUUAAGAUUGGAGGUGUCUGAUCCUGCGGUUACCGUCACUUGAAACAAAACUUCGGCUUUCAAGAAGAUUUUAGAUAUACCCUUUUCUGAUGACCGUACAAUCGAAGCGUGCACACAGACAGGGACCAGCAGACAAAAACGUGAUGAAAAGAAGCUGUAUUAUUUCUGGAUGAGAAAUAAUAGAUAUGGGUUUGAUUGAUUUAAGAACAAGUAAGGGAAGAGGAAAGUUCAGAACUUAUCUACACUUUUAACAGUAAAGAAGCAAUCUUCCCCCCAGGAGGAACCAUUUAUACUGAUAUCAAAGUGUAUUCUGACUCAUUAACUGAAAUACGUUGUGCUGGUGGGAGACAGUUAUAUCAGCAAGAUUUUGUCUACAGAAGGGUUUGCACCAGUAUAACUUAUAUCCAUAAAAAAAGUCAGAUGCAUCAGCACAGUAGAGUGCAAGCCAAGAAUGAAGAAGCAGGGAAAAUUUGCAGACCAAUGUUUUGGGCUAUUUUACAUAUCUGUGUUGUAAAGGUUUCUGUAUGUCCAUAAUAAGAGCAGUUAAAAUACAAAGAUCCUCAACCUCAAUCUACAGCAACCCAAGCAUCAAGAAACUAAAAGAAAACCAAAGCACCUUCCUUUUUUAGGCCAUUUACUCCCAUAGCUUUAGCCAUAGAGUUGGGGGGAGGGGGUGAGGGAAAGAAGCUGAACUGAGCUGGUAAUCACAGCAUUAGGUUGAUUUGACUAUAAGAAAACUUUAAUUUCAAUGUUCCCCACGGGGUUUCUGGUAUUUAUUUCCUUAUUUACUUCUUGAGCCUAUUUAAUACUUUGACCUUAAGGAAGAAGAAUUUGUACAAGCAAGAAGAUUAAAGGUUCAAAUUAGUUAAAGAUGAAACAAAUCUAUUGAUUCAUUAAAGGCCAGUGUUCUCAGUGUCGCCAGUGAUACUAUCAUGUAUUAAACUGUUAAUAUGCUUGAAGAAAAAAGACAUUUUCAGCACAGGUUAUAGAUGGCUUUUGAUUGGAAAAAAAUACACUGCUGCUUUGCAUCCUUUUUGCCUAAUGUUUUCUGUCCCAUCCAAAUGGCCUUUCUACAUAUGUAAGAACCAUGCAAGGGUCAGUGAGUCUCUUCUCAUGCCUACCUGACCCUCUAUGUUGGUUCCAGUCUAAUUUUGCCAUCUGUGUUCACUCCAAAAUUGUACCUCUGAACUUGCACUUCUUUCACAUAUGCUUUGUUCAUGUACUCGCUUUCCUUCUGGUGCGUGUUUCUUCAGCCAUUUCUUGUGUGAUUCCUUCUUCCUCUGGCUGCUUAACCUUGCUUCCUUCAUUACUUCUCUUUCCACUAUUCACUUUCAGGCAUUCAGUGCUGCCUUGCAGUUUCCACAAAGCAUUUGUCCCUACACAAGUUAUGCCUUUUCUUGAUGGUAUAUUGCUUAUUCCUAUGAAGCAGAAGUUAGUGGAGACAAACACGUGAUUGUCAUCGUGCCAGCUAAUCAUGCUAGAGCCAUGGCCCCAGCAGGUUUUAACUGCAGCUGGCUGCCACAACGCUGAGUGUAGCCUAGGUGGAUGCAAUUGCCAAGUCACCACAGGCAUUGUGCCAAAGGGACUCUUCAAGGUUGUGCUGUGACACAGCAGUAACCUGCAGUGAAGACUGGCCCUGCCUAGUACUCGGCGAUAGCCCAAGACCCAGUUUGUGUCUUUGAAUAAACCCAAGUCGAGGUGGUGUUCCUCUAGAAGCAAGCAGGGGUCAAGUAGCAAUGUUUAAAACAAGGUUUAUUCCAACACCAGUUGUGUCAGGUUUGCUGUGAAGCUGACACAAAACCAGGCUCAGAAAGCAGGGAUACGUGGGCACUGCACAGCUGUAGACCUGCAUGCAGAAACCUCCUAUGUGGAAGGUGUGGCACACCUGUAUGAAUUAUCAAGGAGCUGGUAGUGGCUGAGCCAUAUGAGAAGUUCUCUGAAGGCUUUCAUGCUCCCAGGAGGAGGAGCAGCUCAUAAAGCUGUGUUUAUUACUUCACCUCUGGCCAAUUUUUAAGAGUAGAUUUAAGAGGAGGAAGAUGAAGUUGCUCUUUGUUGAAUUUUUUACAUGUUAAAAUACAUACUUAUGUCACAGAGGUUAAAGAAAACAAAAGGAGCAUCACCUUGAAGAGGUGAAAGUUUGAUCCCUGAACUGCCAUACCGAAUUAGGUUUCUGGUACACCUAAGUGUUAGUACUCAGUGAGUUAGCAACCAUCAGUUUGUGAUUAAUACCCUAAUUAAGAGCAGUUUCUUCCUUCCGUCUCCAAUUUUUCCAAGAUAGUGUUGCGCCAAGUGUUAAGAAAAUUGCUCUUCUAAUUUGUGUGCCUUCUCAUCUAUUUGGCCAAGCUUAGGGGAGUAGCCCAAGUCCCCAUUACCACAAUUCUGUUAACAAUUCUUUUGAGUUCAACAAUGCUCAUUCUGUUUCCUUUUCUUAAGCUGGAUAUUAGCAACAAAGACCUGCUAAUGUCUUUACUUUUCAAAAGUUGUAAAAAUGCUUUGGAAUUUCUAGUUUAGCAUUUAUUUAUUUGUCUUCAGAGAUUCAGUUGCAUAGCCCUUCCCACUUACAAUUCAGUUAAAUAAUGUUCAUGUUACCCUUCUAUACAGCUGUAUUUCCUCUGCCUCCGUGGCCCAGUCUUUCUUUCUUGAACAGUUUGUAGGUGGAUAAUGAUGUUGUUCCACUACGUUUCCCUACCACCCAUUGCUAUUAAAAUCAUCCUCCACGGCAAAAUACUCUGAUUGAUUUUUGCUUUUAAGGUUGUUACAUUUGUCUAAAUAGUUAAUUCUAUUCAACUCCUUUUUCUGAUACCUUCCCAGUUUUCCUGAAUUCCCUUUUAUACAUUUACCAAAAUUAUGACUCUCCAAUGGUUGCAAUUGGCAUCAUGUUCUCUGAAUUCACAAGAUGCAGCCAUAUAUACAGAUGUCUUUAAUAGACAUAUCUGACUAAUAUGUUCCCCAGACGCUCAUAACUUCUGGCUUAUUUGCAGGAUCUACUUCUGUUCUGGUCCUCUCCAUUUUCUAGGCUCUCCUUUACUCAGUUACUCUAUCUAACAAACUAAAACACCUUCUUGAACAGUCUGUUCUGGCCACACUGAGAACUGGCACAGAUCUCACUGCUUCAUCAGACUUGCAUAUGAAACUGGGAACGGCUGAGUCAAAGCCAUUUGCCCUGUCUUGGACCAGAGUUUUCUGUCUAGCCAAAUGAUGUUACUUCCCAGACAGUUUCUCUUACUUACUGGUAAGAAAAGCUCAUCCAGUGCCUCAUGAUAUCCAUUCUUUUGUCUGAAAUUAAGAAGCUUGCUGAGCUCGUGUUCGUCAUGACCGUGUUCCUAGGGACAGCUGGGGGUGUUAGUCUCACCAGGCUCAUUCUGACCAUCUCUGAUGGCAAAAGUCAUCUUUAGUUGCAAAGAGUUGCACUGUCUGCCAGAGAAGGACGAUCUGACCCUCCACUCUGCAGCCAUCGGGAGACUGGCUUCUUAAAGCAAAGCCUUGGCCAGCACGUGUCUGAAAGCCACCCUUCCCCUCCCAGAUGACCUUUCAGCUUCUGAGCUUCCUCAAUUUGUCACAGCCAUUUGUGGGGCUUCAGAACAUUUGAAAGUAAAGAAGCAGAAGCUGUGUCAGAUCAAUGGUCCUUAAGGAAUCAGAGUAGAGCAAUAAGACUCUAAGAAUACAGAAAACUUUUCAGUAGGGAGAGCACUGGAACAAGCCAUUUGGGAAUGUAGCCAUUUAACUGAACAAGGAGUCAAUGAGUGACAGACAGGGAGAGAGAACGUGCAGAUGGAGAUUUAGCACUCCCGGUCCUCAUCAUGCAAGAAAUAGAGGGAUUUCAAUAACAUAAGGAAGCACAGGAAAUUCAAAGCUGUGCAGCAUCUGUGGGAGGAGGUAACAAAGUUCUUGUCUGGGGCCCAUGGAGAAGUGUUCCUGGAAGCCUACUGUUGAAUGAAGUACCAUUUUGAGCUAAGGGAGGCACUAUUUGACAGAACAAAAGAUACCUCUCCACACCUGUCAAGUUCAAGAAUAUCUGGAAGUACCGAAAAUUGGAAUCACCCCACAGCCAUUCUGGGAUCUGCUCUGCACGGCCAGAGAUGCCACCGACAGCUUUUAGAUAGGAGGAAGCCGAGGCUAAAGAGCAAAGAAUAUUUCUCGCCCUACAUUGUUCUUGAAGACUAUUUCUGGCACACAGGAAGGUCUCACAAAAUCACCAUCAAACUUAUUUUAGCUAAUUCCAUACGUGACUUGAAGUACUCCAGAGGUGUGUGUCAAGCCUCAGAGAACUGAUGGCAAGUUUCACUCCCUCGUUAGACAUAGAAAUAAAUGUAUGACACUCUAGGGGUUGCCUGGAAGUGCUUUUCUUAUAAACAGAGGGGAAAACAGCCUUCAAAUGAUACACGAGAAAAUUAACAGGAGUGUGUCCAAAUAUUGUACUCUAAAAUGAACACUUUGAUAAUCAUAACAAUGUGGUUUGAAAAGCAUCACUUUAAAAGGUCAGCUAUACCACCCCCUGACUGCACAUUGAAAGCAUAGCGGAUAUAUUGAGUCAUACAUAUUGUUCAUUGUCAUUUGCAUUUGGUGAAAUCCCUGUAUUUUACCCAAUUUAGUAAGCAAGCACCGCCUCGGACUCCCUUGGCAAUACUUCUAAAUGCAGUUACUGUUUGUUGGGCUAAAACAACAUCUUGUCCCAUCCUGCACCAGUAAAUCACUCUUCGGUCUUUUGAUCAAUGUUUGCCUUUUCAAGCCUGUGAGUCAUUUUGCAAUAAUGGAAAGAGAGGGACUGACACACGAGAGCAAUGUGGGUAUUUUGAGCUGCAUCUCUGGGAUACUUUUGUGCAUGUUGUUCUGAACAAAACGACCAUCUGUACCGGUUUGCUGACAGCCACUAGUGCAUCAAAAGAUCUGACUUCCUAUCUUUGUGGAUAAAGACUGGCUUAAUUCUACAAGCACCACGUAGAGUUGUCGGGCGACGUCAUGAAAAGGCCUUACUGAAGUCAAGCACAUUUUUUGCAACCAGCCUUUUUUAAAAAAUCGUCCUCAGGAUCUGACCUCAUGGCAUUUUUCCAUAAUUCUUUGCACAUCACCUGUCACUGGUUUGGGACUGUUCAACUUCCCAACAGUCAUGUCAGUGAUGUUUCCAACCAGAAUACGGCGGAAGCUGUCCUCACCCUUCCGGGGGCUACACCUGAAGAGUAAGCAAAUUUUGUGGGUGUUUAAGCCUUUUUUAAUUUUCUAUGAGCAAUGUAAAAAUGACUCAUUCCUGCUUUGGCUGGAAUAUGUAAUUAGUAAACACUGGUGGGGAGCAAUCAUAUUUCUAAAUUUGUAAGCAUAAACAGUGCAUGAUGCACCAA